CCUACGGGAGGCUGCAGCAAGGAAUUUUCGGCAAUGGGGGCAACCCUGACCGAGCAACGCCGCGUGCGGGAUGACGGCCUUCGGGUUGUAAACCGCUUUUCGGGAGGAAGACAUCGACGGUACUCCCGGAAUCAGGCUCGGCUAACUCUGUGCCAGCAGCCGCGGUAAGACAGAGGAGCCAAGCGUUGUCCGGAUUGACUGGGCGUAAAGCGUACGCAGGCGGCGCGGCGCGUGGGGUGUGAAAGCGGCAGGCUUAACUUGCCGAGGCCACCUCAUACGGCCGUGCUCGAGCCCGAGAGAGGUCCGUGGAAUUGCCGGUGUAGUGGUGAAAUGCGUAGAGAUCGGCAGGAACACCCAGGGGGAAACCAGCGGACUGGCUCGGUGCUGACGCUCAGGUACGAAAGCGUGGGGAGCGAACUGGAUUAGAUACCCUGGUAGUC
This 440-nucleotide ribosomal RNA is filed under the name uncultured bacterium. RNAcentral's name for it is "bacterial SSU rRNA". It matches the Rfam family "Bacterial small subunit ribosomal RNA", at positions 338 to 795 of the family's 1533-position model. The record is from RNAcentral.